RNAcentral lists this ribosomal RNA (426 nucleotides) under uncultured Archangiaceae bacterium. RNAcentral's name for it is "partial 16S ribosomal RNA". It matches the Rfam family "Bacterial small subunit ribosomal RNA", at positions 355 to 774 of the family's 1533-position model. The record is from RNAcentral. Lineage: Bacteria; Pseudomonadati; Myxococcota; Myxococcia; Myxococcales; Archangiaceae.
UGGGGAAUUUUGCGCAAUGGGCGAAAGCCUGACGCAGCAACGCCGCGUGAGUGAUGAAGGUCUUCGGAUCGUAAAGCUCUUUCGGCCGGGACGAAAACGGGUUGGCUAAUAUCCAAUCCCUUGACGGUACCGGAAGAAGAAGCACCGGCUAACUCUGUGCCAGCAGCCGCGGUAAUACAGAGGGUGCAAGCGUUGUUCGGAAUUAUUGGGCGUAAAGCGCGUGUAGGCGGCGAUGCAUGUCGGGUGUGAAAGCCCUCGGCUUAACCGAGGAAGUGCGCCCGAAACUGCAUUGCUCGAGUGCCGGAGAGGGUAGCGGAAUUCCCGGUGUAGAGGUGAAAUUCGUAGAUAUCGGGAGGAACACCAGUGGCGAAGGCGGCUACCUGGACGGACACUGACGCUGAGACGCGAAAGCGUGGGUAGCAAACA